RNAcentral lists this ribosomal RNA (449 nucleotides) under uncultured prokaryote. RNAcentral describes it as "bacterial SSU rRNA". It matches the Rfam family "Bacterial small subunit ribosomal RNA", at positions 355 to 796 of the family's 1533-position model. The record is from RNAcentral.
UGGGGAAUAUUGGACAAUGGGGGCAACCCUGAUCCAGCAAUACCGCGUGUGUGAAGAAGGCCCUAGGGUUGUAAAGCACUUUCAAUUGGGAAGAAAAGCAUUCGGUUAAUACCCGGGUGUCUUGACGGUACCUUUACAAGAAGCACCGGCUAACUCCGUGCCAGCAGCCGCGGUAAUACGGAGGGUGCAAGCGUUAAUCGGAAUCACUGGGCGUAAAGCGCACGCAGGCGGUUUGUUAAGUCAGAUGUGAAAGCCCCGGGCUCAACCUGGGAACUGCAUUUGAUACUGGCAAACUAGAGUAUGAGAGAGAGAAGUGGAAUUCCACAUGUAGCGGUGAAAUGCGUAGAGAUGUGGAGGAACAUCAGUGGCGAAGGCGACUUCUUGGCUCAAUACUGACGCUCAGGUGCGAAAGCGUGGGGAGCAAACAGGAUUAGAUACCCCCGUAGUCC